UUAAGUUAGAAAGAGCGUACGGUGGAUGCCUUGGCACCUGCAGCCGAAGAAGGACGCAGCAAUCUGCGAAAAGCCUCGGGGAGUCGAAAGCAGACAAAGAUCCGGGGGUAUCCGAAUGGGGAAACCCGCUAAUGGUAAUGCGUUAGCACAGCUUGCAAAGGCAAGUAUGAGGAAACCCAGCGAAUUGAAACAUCUUAGUAGCUGGAGGAAAAGAAAAUAAGAAUGAUUCCCUAAGUAGCGGCGAGCGAACGGGGAGCAGGCCAAACCGAUCUAAGGAUUGGGGUAGUAGGACCGCGAAGUGGCACGAAAGUUGAUAGUCGAACGACUUGGAAAAGUAGACCAAAGAGGGUGAAAGUCUCGUAGACGAAAUUGACCUGAAGCCUAGCGGGAUCCUGAGUACGACGAGACACGAGGAAUCUUGUCGGAAGCAGCCAGGACCAUCUGGCAAGCCUAAAUACUAGCAGGUGACCGAUAGUGAACCAGUACCGUGAGGGAAAGGUGAAAAGAACCCCGGGAGGGGAGUGAAAUAGAGAAUCUGAAACCGUAUGCUUACAACAAGUCAGAGCCCGUCAAAGGGUGAUGGCGUGCCUUUUGUAGAAUGAACCGGCGAGUUACCGUAUCGUGCGAGGUUAAGUUGAAGAGAUGGAGCCGAAGCGAAAGCGAGUCUUAAUAGGGCGCAAGUACGAUGUGGUAGACCCGAAGCCGAGUGAUCUAGCCAUGGCCAGGUUGAAGGUUGGGUGAAACCAACUGGAGGACCGAACCGACCCCCGUUGAAACGUUGGCGGAUGAGCUGUGGCUAGCGGAGAAAUUCCAAUCGAACUCGGCAAUAGCUGGUUCUCCCCGAAAUAGUUCUAGGACUAGCGUCGGAUAAAAGAUAAGUGGAGGUAGAGCACUGAAUGGAUGAUGGUCCCCCCCAGGGAUACUGAUUUCAAUUAAACUCCGAAUGCCAUUUAUUGAUCUCCGGCAGUCAGACAGCGAGUGAUAAGGUCCGUUGUCGAAAGGGAAACAGCCCAGAUCGCCAGCUAAGGUCCCAAAAUAUAUGCUAAGUGGAAAAGGAUGUGGAGUUGCACAAACAGCUAGGAGGUUGGCUUAGAAGCAGCCACCCUUGAAAGAGUGCGUAACAGCUCACUAGUCGAGUGGCUCUGCGCCGAAAAUGUACCGGGGCUAAGCAUAUUACCGAAGCUGCGAAUUAGUACGAUAGUAUUAGUGGUAGGGGAGCGUUCUGUACAGCGAAGAAGCUAUAGUGGAAGCGGUAGUGGAGCGUACAGAAGUGAGAAUGCCGGUGUGAGUAGCGAAAUGUUGGUGAGAAUCCAACACACCGUAUGACCAAGGAUUCCAGGGGCAGGCUCGUCCGCCCUGGGUAAGUCGGGACCUAAGGCGAGGCCGAAAGGCGUAGUCGAUGGACAACUGGUUGAUAUUCCAGUACCCGCGUAAGAGUGAAGGAGUGACAGAGAAGGCUAGGUGAACCACAUUACUGGAUUUGUGGACAAGCUAGAUAGCAGGCAGACAGGAAAAUCCGUCUGCAUGAUGCAAGUAGUGAAGUGGAGCCAACGGGUGACCAAGUAGCGAAGUCAUUGAUGCCAGCUCUCAAGAAAAGCUUCUAGCGUUAAUCUUAUGGCGGCCCGUACCAAAACCGACACAGGUGGUUGAGGAGAGUAUCCUAAGGUGAGCGAGAGAACUGUUGCCAAGGAACUCGGCAAAAUAGUCCCGUAACUUCGGAAGAAGGGACGCUCGAAAGAGCCGCAGUGAAAAGGCCCAAGCAACUGUUUAUCUAAAACACAGCUCUAUGCUAAGUCGUAAGACGAUGUAUAUGGGGUGACGCCUGCCCGGUGCUGGAAGGUUAAGGGGAACUGUCAUCGCAAGAGAAGCAGAGAACCGAAGCCCCAGUGAACGGCGGCCGUAACUAUAACGGUCCUAAGGUAGCGAAAUUCCUUGUCAGGUAAGUUCUGACCCGCACGAAAGGCGUAAUGAUUUGGGCGCUGUCUCGGCAGCAGACUCGGUGAAAUCUUAGUACCAGUAAAGAUGCUGGUUACCCGCAACUAGACGGAAAGACCCCGUGGAGCUUUACUGUAGUCUGAUAUUGGAUCUUGAUUAUUUAUGCACAGGAUAGGUGGGAGAUGAAGAUCUCAACACUCUGGUGUUGAGGGAGUCAGCGUUGGGAUACCACCCUUAAAUAAUUGAGGUUCUAACCGUGCUGAAACGACAGUCGGGACAGUGUCAGAUGGGCAGUUUGACUGGGGCGGUCGCCUCCUAAAAGGUAACGGAGGCGCCCAAAGGUACCCUCAGACUGGUUGGAAAUCAGUCUACGAGCGCAAAGGCAGAAGGGUGCUUGACUGCGAGAGCAACAACUCGAGCAGGGACGAAAGUCGGGCUUAGUGAUCCGGCGGUGCAGAAUGGAAUGGCCGUCGCUCAACGGAUAAAAGCUACCCCGGGGAUAACAGGCUGAUCUCGCCCAAGAGUUCACAUCGACGGCGAGGUUUGGCACCUCGAUGUCGGCUCAUCGCAUCCUGGAGCUGGAUUAGGUUCCAAGGGUUGGGCUGUCCGCCCAUUAAAGCGGUACGCGAGCUGGGUUCAGAACGUCGUGAGACAGUUCGGUCCCUAUCUGUUGUGGGCGUAGGAGAUUUGAGGAGUGCUGUCCCUAGUACGAGAGGACCGGGAUGGACAUAGCGCUGGUACACCAAUUGUUCCGCCAGGGGCAUAGUUGGGUAGCUAACUAUGGAUCGGAUAAACGCUGAAGGCAUCUAAGCGUGAAACCGGCUUCAAGAUGAGAUCUCCCACUUGAAAGAGGUAAGUUCCCUUGAAGACGACGAGGUAGAUAGGUCAGAAGUGCAAGUACAGCGAUGUAUUUAGCGGACUGAUACUAAUAGAACGAGGACUUAAUCU
RNAcentral lists this ribosomal RNA (2883 nucleotides) under activated sludge metagenome. RNAcentral describes it as "bacterial LSU rRNA". It matches the Rfam family "Bacterial large subunit ribosomal RNA". The record is from RNAcentral.